AUUAGGGACAACUUCCAACUUUAUGACCAAUUUUAUGGUAGUUGUUGAUGUAUAUAAUGCUAUAUCAGGAUUAAAAUGAUUGAGUCUUGGGGGCAUCUUUGUUAUCCUAUUUAAAACUAUGCAACUAGCAUUCCAGUUUAAGCAAAAAAAGCAAAAAUAGGUGUAAUCCCUAUUUACCCGGAAAUUGCGGUUAAUUGGGACGAAAUGAGAAAUUUGCUAGGGUUGGCACUACUUGGUUUUAAUUUAUUUAUUUUAUUUACUUAUGAUUAAUUUAUAUUUACUUAGGAAAUGAUCCACGACAGAUUUGUCCAGUAAGUUGUGAGACAAUUAAAAAAAACAUCUAUUUCAUCACUUAAAAUUAGUUCAGCGCAAUCGGACAACUCCGAAUGAACAUUGACGGAGACCACGCUACCGUGGACAUUAUUGUAGUCCCAAAGGAUUCUGUAUAUGGGAGAGUAAGCACCUAAAUUCGAACGAGUGAGCUUUCUUAUAAACGGUUUAUAUUUCUUCGUUCUUGGUAAGCUUCUAUUGCUGUUUUUAAUAUUAAGGGAUCACAUCUCUUAUAAGGCUUUGCACUCUUUGAUACGUAAACGCGAGGCAUAUCUAAAAAUAGAAAACAAUACGUAACUGAUAAUAUAAAUAUUUACCAAACAAUAAAAUAACACAUUGAUAAUUUUAAAUAAAAGUUCUAGACAAA
Molecule: long non-coding RNA, 697 nt
Organism: Bombyx mori (domestic silkworm)
Lineage: Eukaryota; Metazoa; Arthropoda; Insecta; Lepidoptera; Bombycidae
Exons: 2
Source: RefSeq, a predicted model, not a curated record